UCAACCUCUAACCUAUCCGGUAGUCCCAAAUCCUGGGCACCUGCAUGAUUUCCUUCUCCAUAUUUGACUCAAGUAUGGCAGCUAGACGGAGCAGUAAAGGGUCAGGCCUGAAGUCAGGAAGACACAUCUGGCCUUUCCACAGCACUGUAAGGCUUGCGAAGAUACCUGUAUUAUCCUGUUUGACCCUCACAACAUCUCUGGGAGACCCACCCUUCAUUUCAGAGAAUAAAAAAGGAAGAAAGAAAACACCAGAUAAGGCAACUGAGGCACCAAGAGACCAUGUGACUUGCCAGGCAUCACACUUGAAGUCAGGGGACCUGGCUCUAAAUCUCCUCUUUGGGAAAUUCCAUCACCUGAUCUGUGAAAGAUAGAGAAUGACGCCUGAUUCCAUGUCUUCAUCUACAACUGUUUGCCAGAGAGAAUGGACUGGAGAGAGCAAGGCUGGAGCCAGAUUGGAAGAAGCCACGGUCUGCUCAAGAGCCUCAGGCUGCUGGGACUGGACAAAGCCAGCACGGUUUAGGUCCUUGGGGGAGAACUACAUUGGGAGAUGAUCUCAGAAACACCAACUUCCAGGGCGAAGUCCAAGCAGGGCGGUAUUAAGUGGCGUCAGAUGGAUGAGAGAGUUCAUGAAUUUCGUUACUGUUGUAUGGUCUUCUCUGGGCUCUUCAUUUGGCCCUGGCCCGGGACUUCACUUCACUGCGUAGAGCAACGUCCCGCCUUCAAAUUAGGGAAGCAGCAAAUGGGCUGGAGACACAGAAACUUGAGGAGACACACCUGUGGCCAUGCAACAAGCAAAUAAAUGGCAGAUUGGAAUUCAGCCCCAUUUACUACACACGUUGCCUUGUUGGGCUUUUAAUCCUCCUGACCUGGGAUCUAGGAU
Monodelphis domestica (gray short-tailed opossum) is the source of this 880-nucleotide long non-coding RNA. RefSeq lists it as uncharacterized. The record is from RefSeq and is a predicted model, not a curated record. Lineage: Eukaryota; Metazoa; Chordata; Mammalia; Didelphimorphia; Didelphidae.